This 990-nucleotide long non-coding RNA is filed under the name Nicotiana tabacum (common tobacco). Its description in RNAcentral is "long non-coding RNA (NTAB_LNC014745)". The record is from RNAcentral. Lineage: Eukaryota; Viridiplantae; Streptophyta; Magnoliopsida; Solanales; Solanaceae.
AAAAAAAUGCUCAGUUCAGGGUUGGGCCCUAAUGCUGGCUAAAUGGAAAAUGCUCAGUUCAGGGUUGGAGCCCUAAUGCUGGCUAACAGAAAAAGUGCUCAGUUUAGGGUUGGGGUCUUAAUGCUGGCUAACUGGAAAAAUGCUCAGUUCAGGGUUGGAGCCCUAAUGCUGGCUAAUAUGGAAAAUGCUCAGUUCAGGGUUGGGGCCCUAAUGCUGGCUAAUUGGAGAAAUGCUCAGUUCAGGGUUGGAGCCCUAAUGCUGGCUAAUAUAACAAUGCUCAGUUCAGGGUUGGAGCUCUAAUGCUGGCUGACAGAAAAAUGCUCAGUUCAGGGUUGGAGCCCUAAUGCUGGCUAAAUGUAAAAUGCUCAGUUCAGGGUUGGAACCCUAAUGCUGGCUAACUGGAGAAAUGCUCAGUUCAGGGUUGGAGCCCUAAUGCUGGCUAACUGGAGAAAUGCUCAGUUCAGGGUUGGAGCCCUAAUGCUGGCUAAAUGGAAAAUGCUCAGUUCAGGGUUGGAGCCCUAAUGCUGGCUAAAUGGAAAAUGCUCAGUUCAGGGUUGGAUCCCUAAUGCUGGCUAACAGAAAAAAUGCUCAGUUCAGGGUUGGAGCCCUAAUGCUGGUAACUGGAAAAAUGCCGGUGAUUCUAACUGACCCUCUUUUUGAGUUUUCUUCUUUUAGUAAAAUGUAAAAGAGAAUUUUGGGGAAACUUCCCUUUUGAGUGGAUUCCUUAUUGCCGAGCCGUUUCUUGCACUCAUGUAUUUCUUUUCUUUUUGGGCGACAACCUGCUUCUUGUACGGUUGCUUUGGGUCACACCUGUUUCAAUUUUCCAAACAAAAAACAAUUGUUAGUUCGGAAAUGGUGGUUGGUUCGGUGACCUUGAUUGUUCCAGUUGCUUUGUCGCGUCCUUAUUUCUGUUGAGAAACUCUGCCAUGGAUUGAAUUCACAGGCGAAACCCUUUGGACUACCCAGACUCGCGUUUCCAGAUUUUGUGAU